GUUCCUUCGUAUAUAUAAAACUCACACACCGACUCAUCUUCACCGUGGCUCACCUAGGCGUGCUCUAACUUUUGAGUCCAGACCCAAACCAAAACCACCGUGUAACACAUGGAGGACACCUUCAUCAUGAUCAAGCCUGAUGGGGUCCAGAGAGGCCUUGUUGGGGAGAUCAUUGGCAGAUUUGAGAAGAAGGGUUUCUCCCUCAAGGGGUUGAAGCUAAUCACUGUGGAGCGUGCUUUGGCUGAGAAGCAUUAUGCAGACCUGUCUGCAAAGCCAUUCUUCAAUGGACUU
This 291-nucleotide unclassified non-coding RNA is filed under the name Hevea brasiliensis (rubber tree). Lineage: Eukaryota; Viridiplantae; Streptophyta; Magnoliopsida; Malpighiales; Euphorbiaceae. The record is from RNAcentral.